Molecule: non-coding RNA, 21 nt
Organism: Caenorhabditis elegans
Lineage: Eukaryota; Metazoa; Nematoda; Chromadorea; Rhabditida; Rhabditidae
Source: Ensembl
UUGUUUUUAACAGUUUUUAAC